This 60-nucleotide microRNA precursor is filed under the name Oreochromis niloticus (Nile tilapia). RNAcentral's name for it is "microRNA oni-mir-10728 precursor". The record is from miRBase by way of RNAcentral. Lineage: Eukaryota; Metazoa; Chordata; Actinopteri; Cichliformes; Cichlidae.
ACUAGGCAGACCUGGCACACCUAAACAUAUUGUGAGGGUGCACCGGAAAUGCCUGGCAGA